AUACGGAGGGAGCAAGCGUUAUUCGGAAUCACUGGGCGUAAAGCGUACGUAGGCGGAUCGUUAAGUUAGAGGUGAAAUCCCAGGGCUCAACCCUGGAACUGCCUUUAAUACUGGCGAUCUAGAGAUCGAGAGAGGUGAGUGGAAUUUCCAGUGUAGAGGUGAAAUUCGUAGAUAUUGGAAAGAACACCAGUGGCGAAGGCGGCUCACUGGCUCGAUACUGACGCUGAGGAACGAAAGCGUGGGGAGCAAACAGGAUUAGAUACCCUAGUAGUCC
RNAcentral lists this ribosomal RNA (274 nucleotides) under uncultured bacterium. RNAcentral's name for it is "partial 16S ribosomal RNA". It matches the Rfam family "Bacterial small subunit ribosomal RNA", at positions 523 to 796 of the family's 1533-position model. The record is from RNAcentral.